Non-coding RNA from Camellia sinensis, 1067 nucleotides. The record is from RefSeq and is a predicted model, not a curated record. NCBI's taxonomy places the organism in Eukaryota, Viridiplantae, Streptophyta, Magnoliopsida, Ericales, Theaceae.
UCACUCUAGCAGACGAAGAACAUCUUGAAUCCACAAAAAACAAAGAAUUCUCAAAGAGGAUUUGAAUUAUAUUGAAUAGAAGUUGAUUUGCCCUAAAUCAUAUAUCCUUAUAUAAAAUGAACGAAGUCCUAACUAGACAAGAAAACAAGGAACACAAAAAUAAAUAGAAAAUUUCCAAAAAUAAAAGAAAAUUGAGUUAAACCCAAAUCUGAAUACCAAGAAACAAUAGAAACGUACCAAAAUAGACGACGCUAAAAAUGGACAUCUCAAAAUAAAGCUAUUGCUAAAACGAAGCUUUCCUAAAACAGAAAAAUCACUAAUUUGAGAGCUUAAGUGAAGGAAUUUGGCUAAAAUCCACCAUACAUUAUCCCCAAAGUGGUGAUGACUUUGAUUUAAAAGCUAUUUCCAUUUAGAAUACCAAAUUUGAGAUAAUUCCAAAUUCGUUACAAAAGUGUCACUAUUAUCCUCAAUUUGACUCUUCCUUACCCUUUGUUGAUCCAAUUGUUCAAAGAGUUCAUCAUCUACUUGUUCUACAUCACAAACCCAUCUCAAAAAUUGGACAACUAGAAUUAAGUAUAUAGGGAGAGAAGGAAACAAAUUGGGGUGUGAAAACUUGGGAACACAAGCAUAGAUCUUUUAUGCCAUAUAUGCUCUGAUUUUAGAUUUGGAAGGUUGUGUCUGUUUAUUGCAGUCACUGUCUGGGAUCAGAUGCAGGAAGAACAGAAGGGAACUUUUGGGCCUGAACAAUGGCUCAACAGCGGACAAUAAAUCAAAGAGAGCCAACCAUGGAAACAACAAUUGGGGGAUUUGUUGAAGAGAAAGUUAUUGACGCUUGGGAGAGAGGUGGUGUUGCAAAGAUUGACGUUGGCAGAGGAAGCUUGGAAGCUUGGAGAAGAUGCCAUAGUCGUUGUGGGUUUCAUGAGACCGGAAAAAAAAGAAAAAAAAAAAUACACAACGUCAUUUAUUGUGUGCAUUACAGAGAAUGAACUAUAGGAAAUCCAAACUCAUGAUGUAAAUUCAAUUGUUACAUUGUCAGAUCCACACAUAAAAUAAAUUUUAAUUGCAUA